RNAcentral lists this small nuclear RNA (158 nucleotides) under Homalodisca vitripennis (glassy-winged sharpshooter). RNAcentral's name for it is "U1 spliceosomal RNA". It matches the Rfam family "U1 spliceosomal RNA". Rfam says of the family: U1 is a small nuclear RNA (snRNA) component of the spliceosome (involved in pre-mRNA splicing). Lineage: Eukaryota; Metazoa; Arthropoda; Insecta; Hemiptera; Cicadellidae. The record is from RNAcentral.
AGACUUACCUGGCGUAGGGGUUACCAUGAUCACGAAGGCGGUUCCCUCACGACGAGGCCUUUAUAUUACACUACGGUCGGGAUGAAUCCUGCGAAUACCCCAAAUGUGGGUAUCUCGGGCGCCUAAUUUUGGUAGCGGGGACUGCGUCCGCGCCCUAA